This 253-nucleotide ribosomal RNA is filed under the name uncultured bacterium. RNAcentral's name for it is "partial 16S ribosomal RNA". It matches the Rfam family "Bacterial small subunit ribosomal RNA", at positions 524 to 776 of the family's 1533-position model. The record is from RNAcentral.
GACGUAGGGUGCAAGCGUUGUCCGGAUUUAUUGGGCGUAAAGAGCUCGUAGGCGGUUUGUUGCGUCGGCUGUGAAAUCCCGAGGCUCAACCUCGGGUCUGCAGUCGAUACGAGCAAACUAGAGUGUUGCAGGGGAGACUGGAAUUCCUGGUGUAGCGGUGAAAUGCGCAGAUAUCAGGAGGAACACCGGUGGCGAAGGCGGGUCUCUGGGCAACAACUGACGCUGAGGAGCGAAAGCGUGGGGAGCGAACAGG